GUUCAACGGCCGCGGUAUCCUAACCGUGCGAAGGUAGCGUAAUCAUUUGUUCUUUAAAUGAGGACUAGUAUGAAUGGCACCACGAGGGUUAUACUGUCUCCCCUUUUUAAUCAGUGAAACUAAUCUCCCCAUGAAGAAGCGGGGAUAAACCUAUAAGACGAGAAGACCCUAUGGAGCUUUAAACUAUGCGACACUUGCACUAACCCAUACAAAUUUCAGAAAAAUCUCUUCUACACAUGUAAGAUGAUCACCAGUUUUAGGUUGGGGUGACCGCGGAGCAAAAAACAACCUCCACAUUGAAAGGAGUUUCACUCCUUAGCUUAGAGCCACACCUCCAUGCAUCAAUACAAUGACAUUAAUUGACCCAAUAGUUUGAUCAACGAACCAAGUUACCCUAGGGAUAACAGCGCAAUCCACUUCAAGAGCUCCUAUCGACAAGUGGGUUUACGACCUCGAUGUUGGAUCAGGGUAUCCUGGUGGUGUAGCCGCUACCAAAGGUUCGUUUGUUCAACGAUUAAAACCC
This 523-nucleotide ribosomal RNA is filed under the name Vitreorana eurygnatha (Rio glass frog). RNAcentral describes it as "partial 16S ribosomal RNA". It matches the Rfam family "Bacterial large subunit ribosomal RNA", at positions 1922 to 2596 of the family's 2925-position model. Lineage: Eukaryota; Metazoa; Chordata; Amphibia; Anura; Centrolenidae. The record is from RNAcentral.